Non-coding RNA from Brachypodium distachyon (stiff brome), 189 nucleotides. The record is from RefSeq and is marked provisional. Lineage: Eukaryota; Viridiplantae; Streptophyta; Magnoliopsida; Poales; Poaceae.
GGAGUAGUAAAAGAGAUGCGCGGGCAUGCUUUCCACAGGCUUUCUUGAACUGUGAACUCGUGGGGGUGUUCUCCUCUGAAUUGUGUCGUGGAAUUGCGGGCUUGUUCUUUAUCCGUCGAUCUCUCCGCCUGUUGAUGGUUCAAGAAAGCCCAUGGAAACCAUGCCGCCAUCUUGGUCUCGCGUCCCCGU